GUGGGGAAUAUUGGACAAUGGGCGAAAGCCUGAUCCAGCCAUGCCGCGUGUGUGAAGAAGGUCUUCGGAUUGUAAAGCACUUUAAGUUGGGAGGAAGGGCAGUAAGUUAAUACCUUGCUGUUUUGACGUUACCGACAGAAUAAGCACCGGCUAACUUCGUGCCAGCAGCCGCGGUAAUACGAAGGGUGCAAGCGUUAAUCGGAAUUACUGGGCGUAACGCGCGCGUAGGUGGUUUUGUAAGUUGGAGGUGAAAUCCCCGGGCUUAACCUGGGAACUGCCUCAAAAACUGCAUGACUAGAGUACGGUAGAGGGUAGUGGAAUUUCCUGUGUAGCGGUGAAAUGCGUAGAUAUAGGAAGGAACACCAGUGGCGAAGGCGACUACCUGGACUGAUACUGACACUGAGGUGCGAAAGCGUGGGGAGCAAACAGGAUUAGAAACCCUAGUAGUCC
Molecule: ribosomal RNA, 450 nt
Filed under: uncultured bacterium
Lineage: Bacteria
Description: partial 16S ribosomal RNA
Rfam family: Bacterial small subunit ribosomal RNA
Source: RNAcentral